Molecule: long non-coding RNA, 480 nt
Filed under: Triticum aestivum (bread wheat)
Lineage: Eukaryota; Viridiplantae; Streptophyta; Magnoliopsida; Poales; Poaceae
Description: long non-coding RNA (TAES_LNC015106)
Source: RNAcentral
CAGCUCGUGGGUGUGUACUCUAGCGAUGCAAUUUGUGGGUUCUCAACGGACAGCAGUGCGAUUUGGCUUACAGGGCAGGGCAUAAUUGAUAGACGGUGGAUUAUGGUUGAUGUUGAUGCAGUGCAAAACGCCUCUUCAUGCAGUUCUUUGGCUCUGGAGCGAGCAGUGGAGAGGACACCGGCAUGCAGCUCCCCAUCCCCCGUACUUGUCCACUGAACCUGUAGAAGCCCAUCUUGCUGCAGUGUAUAUGAGCAUAUGGCCUGCAAGUGUUCACUUCUGUUUUUCUGUUGCAAGGAUCGGUUCACCUCUUCGGUGGAAAAAAGAAGGAAAUUAAAACCCCACUCGUUGACGAGAUAACAACCCACGAGCAUCAUGCACGUGCAGUCCCUUUUGGGUAUGCUUGCAAUGCGGUGUGUGUAUGGGUGCAGUCCACCCCAUCGGUCAUCAAUGUAUUUUUUUGAGAAAAAGAUAUGUUUGUUG